RNAcentral lists this ribosomal RNA (411 nucleotides) under Triticum aestivum (bread wheat). RNAcentral's name for it is "partial small subunit ribosomal RNA". Lineage: Eukaryota; Viridiplantae; Streptophyta; Magnoliopsida; Poales; Poaceae. The record is from RNAcentral.
AUGCAGGCAUUUGUCGGUCUACUUGUUUCGGACGUGAUACCUAUAUACAUGAUCAUACCUAGAUAUUCUUAUAACUAUGCUCAAUUCUGUCAAUUGCUCAACAGUAAUUUGUUCACCCACCGUAGAAUACUUAUGCUCUUGAGAGAAGCCACUAGUGAAACCUAUGGCCCCCGGGUCUAUCUUUAUCAUAUUGAUCUCCUACUACUUAGUUAUUUCCUUUGCUAUUUACUUUGCCUUUAUUUUACUUUGCAUCUUUAUCAUAAAAAUACCAAAAAUAUUAUCUUAUCAUAUCUAUCGGAUCUCACUCUCGUAAGUGGCCCUAUAGGGAUUGACAACCCCUAUUUGCGUUGGUUGCGAGGAUUUUUUUUUUGCAGGUGCGAGGGACUCGCGCGUAGCCUCCUAUUGGAUUGA